AGUGAACGCUGGCGGUAGGCCUAACACAUGCAAGUCGAACGGCAACACAGGAAGAUCUUGCUCUUACGGGUGGCGAGUGGCGGACGGGUGAGGAAUACAUCGGAAUCUACUUUUUCGGGGAGGAUAACGUAGGGAAACUUACGCUAAUACCGCAUACGACCUACGGGUGGAAUCAGGGGAUCUUCGGACCUUGCGCGAUUGUAUUAGCCGAUGUCGGAUUAGCUAGUUGGCUUGGUAAAGGCACACCAAGGCGACGAACCGUAGCUGGUCUGAGAGGAUGAUCGGCCACACUGGAACUGAGACACGGUCCAGACUCCUACGGGAGGCAGCAGUGGGGAAUAUUGGACAAAGGGCGAAAGCCUGACCCAGCCAUACCGCGUGAGUGAUGAAGGUCUUCGGGUUGUAAAGCUCUUUUGUUGGGAAAGAAAAACAGCGGGUUAAUACCUCGCCGUUCUGACGGUACCCAAAGAGAAAGCCACGGCUAACUACGUG
This 492-nucleotide ribosomal RNA is filed under the name uncultured bacterium. Its description in RNAcentral is "partial 16S ribosomal RNA". It matches the Rfam family "Bacterial small subunit ribosomal RNA", at positions 29 to 507 of the family's 1533-position model. The record is from RNAcentral.